This is a long non-coding RNA of Salarias fasciatus (jewelled blenny), 369 nucleotides long. RefSeq lists it as uncharacterized. Lineage: Eukaryota; Metazoa; Chordata; Actinopteri; Blenniiformes; Blenniidae. The record is from RefSeq and is a predicted model, not a curated record. The transcript has 4 exons.
AAAGUCGACCACAACUGGAACCAGUGGAGCUUCAGCAGAUCCACAAGGUCUGAGCAGAAAUCUGGCCGUCUCUCUGGGAUUAGCAGCACUUGUCAUUUGUGUUGUGACGGUUAACAUGUGGGCCAGAAUUAAAGAACAACAGAUUCAACGAGAUGGAACCACAACUCGGCGUGAAGAAGACGAGGCUGCAGUGACGUACGAGAACCUGGGAGAGCCGUCUGUUUCUGUCCGACUCCACUGAGCGACAUCGCCAGUCCACUGCUGCUGAGUCAGCACUUUCACUGUUUUCUCUAAAUUCAGGAUGUUGUUUUAAAUGAAGCUGUUCUCAUUUAGUUAUCUACAGUUUUUCUUCUGUUUCUACUUGUAUCA